RNAcentral lists this ribosomal RNA (484 nucleotides) under uncultured bacterium. Its description in RNAcentral is "partial 16S ribosomal RNA". It matches the Rfam family "Bacterial small subunit ribosomal RNA", at positions 30 to 507 of the family's 1533-position model. The record is from RNAcentral.
AUUGAACGCUGGCGGCAGGCCUAACACAUGCAAGUCGAGCGGAUGAAGGGAGCUUGCUCCUGGAUUCAGCGGCGGACGGGUGAGUAAUGCCUAGGAAUCUGCCUGGUAGUGGGGGAUAACGUCCGGAAACGGGCGCUAAUACCGCAUACGUCCUGAGGGAGAAAGUGGGGGAUCUUCGGACCUCACGCUAUCAGAUGAGCCUAGGUCGGAUUAGCUAGUUGGUGGGGUAAAGGCCUACCAAGGCGACGAUCCGUAACUGGUCUGAGAGGAUGAUCAGUCACACUGGAACUGAGACACGGUCCAGACUCCUACGGGAGGCAGCAGUGGGGAAUAUUGGACAAUGGGCGAAAGCCUGAUACAGACAUGCCGCGUGUGUGAAGAAGGUCUUCGGAUUGUAAAGCACUUUAAGUUGGGAGGAAGGGCAGUAAGUUAAUACCUUGCUGUUUUGACGUUACCAACAGAAUAAGCACCGGCUAACUUCGUG